This 465-nucleotide ribosomal RNA is filed under the name uncultured bacterium. Its description in RNAcentral is "partial 16S ribosomal RNA". It matches the Rfam family "Bacterial small subunit ribosomal RNA", at positions 28 to 507 of the family's 1533-position model. The record is from RNAcentral.
GACGAACGCUGGCGGCGUGCUUAACACAUGCAAGUCGAACGGAAAGGCCCCUUUGGGGGUACUCGAGUGGCGAACGGGUGAGUAACACGUGAGUAACCUGCCCUUGACUUCGGGAUAACUUCAGGAAACUGGGGCUAAUACCGGAUAGGAAUCCUUGCUGCAUGGUGGGGGUUGGAAAGCUUCGGCGGUUUUGGAUGGACUCGCGGCUUAUCAGCUUGUUGGUGGGGUAGUGGCUUACCAAGGCUUUGACGGGUAGCCGGCCUGAGAGGGCGACCGGCCACAUUGGGACUGAGAUACGGCCCAGGCUCCUACGGGAGGCAGCAGGGGGGAAUAUUGCACAAUGGGCGGAAGCCUGAUGCAGCAACGCCGCGUGCGGGAUGACGGCCUUCGGGUUGUAAACCGCUUUCAGCAGGGGCGAAGCUUGUGGUGACGGUACCUGCAGAAGAAGCACCGGCUAACUACGUG